This 106-nucleotide ribosomal RNA is filed under the name Corynebacterium sp. 319. Its description in RNAcentral is "partial 23S ribosomal RNA". It matches the Rfam family "Bacterial large subunit ribosomal RNA", at positions 2820 to 2925 of the family's 2925-position model. The record is from RNAcentral. Lineage: Bacteria; Bacillati; Actinomycetota; Actinomycetes; Mycobacteriales; Corynebacteriaceae.
GGUUUCUUUUGAGGUUCCCUAUAGAUUAUGGGGUUGAUAGGCCGGAUCUGGAAGCGCUGUGAGGUGUGGAGGUGACCGGUACUAAUACACCGAAAAAAACACAACC